This 814-nucleotide long non-coding RNA is filed under the name Amborella trichopoda. RNAcentral's name for it is "long non-coding RNA (ATRI_LNC002511)". The record is from RNAcentral. Lineage: Eukaryota; Viridiplantae; Streptophyta; Magnoliopsida; Amborellales; Amborellaceae.
UGCCAAUAUAGGAUCUGAGCACAUGUUUCAUUAUUCUCAUGAAGGUACUAGGAGCAUUCGACUACCCAAACGGCGUAGCGAACUACUUUAAUAAUCCAUCAUGUGUUUUAAAAACGGUCUUCUAGUCAUCCCCAAGACUAAAAAGUUGGGGAAAUUUUGGACUAGAAGACGGCUUUUAAAACACCAUAAAGUUUUUAUGGUGUCAAGGCUAGUCCAACUUUAUGGUGCCAAGGUUUUUAAAAGUCGUCUUCUAGUCCAUAUACAAGAUCAUCAUCAUCUGGCUCCUCAUCAUAAAUUGGAUCACCAUUAUACCUAUUAGCAUAAUCUAGGUUCUCAUCCAUAAUCAUGAGUUGCUUGUUUUUAUCAGGACGGCUAUUCGGCUUCUUACAAUCUCCGGUCAUGUGACUCGCCUCCCCUCACUUGAAACAACAAAGAGUUGAGGUGCUGCCCUGAACUCUAGCACUUGGACCAACAAUAUUUGGGAGAUUAAUAGGUGCUGUCGAGGCAUCUUUGUUGCCCACAAAUGGUGCCUCUUCAGGCCUUGCACCAAGAUCUUGCAAUCGCCUAUUGGGAGACCCAAAUCUCCUCUCAUGGCUGCACUAGCCAUGCUCUUGGACUAUUGUUUCUCUAUUGUUAAAGCUCACUGACAGGCUUCCGAAAUAGUCCAUAGAGGGUGUUAACUUAGGACGUCUUGAAUUGAUUGUCUCAGUUCCGCUAUGUAUCGAGCAACAAGUUACUCUUCAGUCUCAGACAAGUUGUUCCAUGUAACUAAUUGAUGGAACUCCUCAAUACAAUCAUCAACGGAUUGCCCCCG